RNAcentral lists this ribosomal RNA (253 nucleotides) under uncultured bacterium. Its description in RNAcentral is "partial 16S ribosomal RNA". It matches the Rfam family "Bacterial small subunit ribosomal RNA", at positions 524 to 776 of the family's 1533-position model. The record is from RNAcentral.
UACAGAGGUCUUAAGCGUUGUUCGGAUUCAUUGGGCGUAAAGGGUGCGUAGGUGGCGGGGCAAGUCUGGUGUGAAAUCUCGGGGCUCAACUCCGAAACUGCACUGGAUACUGCCUUGCUCGAGUACUGGAGAGGAGAUUGGAAUUUACGGUGUAGCAGUGAAAUGCGUAGAUAUCGUAAGGAAGACCAGUGGCGAAGGCGAAUCUCUGGACAGUUACUGACACUGAGGCACGAAGGCCAGGGGAGCAAACGGG